This is a small nucleolar RNA of Betta splendens (Siamese fighting fish), 73 nucleotides long. Ensembl annotates it as small nucleolar RNA SNORD2. The record is from Ensembl. Lineage: Eukaryota; Metazoa; Chordata; Actinopteri; Anabantiformes; Osphronemidae.
GGGUGAUGUGAUGGUAACCAUCUUUCGGGACUGACUCUAUACUGGAGAGUUUAUUUACGUUUACUGAUCACCA